This 570-nucleotide ribosomal RNA is filed under the name Salmonella enterica. RNAcentral's name for it is "partial 23S ribosomal RNA". It matches the Rfam family "Bacterial large subunit ribosomal RNA", at positions 663 to 1230 of the family's 2925-position model. The record is from RNAcentral. Lineage: Bacteria; Pseudomonadati; Pseudomonadota; Gammaproteobacteria; Enterobacterales; Enterobacteriaceae.
GAGCCGGAGGGAAACCGAGUCUUAACCGGGCGUUAAGUUGCAGGGUAUAGACCCGAAACCCGGUGAUCUAGCCAUGGGCAGGUUGAAGGUUGGGUAACACUAACUGGAGGACCGAACCGACUAAUGUUGAAAAAUUAGCGGAUGACCUGUGGCUGGGGGUGAAAGGCCAAUCAAACCGGGAGAUAGCUGGUUCUCCCCGAAAGCUAUUUAGGUAGCGCCUCGUGAAUUCAUCUCCGGGGGUAGAGCACUGUUUCGGCUAGGGGGCCAUCCCGGCUUACCAACCCGAUGCAAACUGCGAAUACCGGAGAAUGUUAUCACGGGAGACACACGGCGGGUGCUAACGUCCGUCGUGAAGAGGGAAACAACCCAGACCGCCAGCUAAGGUCCCAAAGUCAUGGUUAAGUGGGAAACGAUGUGGGAAGGCCCAGACAGCCAGGAUGUUGGCUUAGAAGCAGCCAUCAUUUAAAGAAAGCGUAAUAGCUCACUGGUCGAGUCGGCCUGCGCGGAAGAUGUAACGGGGCUAAACCAUGCACCGAAGCUGCGGCAGCGACGCUGAUGCGUUGUUGGGUA